CCCUAGCCCCGAGUGAAAUGAAAAGCUUUUUGCGAAAGCCGUUUUGGUUUUUCUAGUUUAUAAAAAGCGACCAAAGGAAGCUCUUUUAUGAACUUCAGAAAAACAAACGGGUUUGCAAAAACUUGCAAUGAAAAGCGGGAAAUAGC
This 146-nucleotide small RNA is filed under the name Flavobacterium urumqiense. Its description in RNAcentral is "Flavo-1 RNA". It matches the Rfam family "Flavo-1 RNA". Lineage: Bacteria; Pseudomonadati; Bacteroidota; Flavobacteriia; Flavobacteriales; Flavobacteriaceae. The record is from RNAcentral.